Molecule: non-coding RNA, 98 nt
Organism: Acanthosepion pharaonis
Lineage: Eukaryota; Metazoa; Mollusca; Cephalopoda; Sepiida; Sepiidae
Source: the annotation of a GenBank genome assembly
UUGAAACACUGGUUCACGUACAAUCACCGAAGUUAAGCAACGUCGAGACUAGUCCGUAUCUAGAUGGGUGACCGCUUGGGAAUACCAGGUGCUGUAAG